AGAGUUUGAUCCUGGCUCAGGACGAACGCUGGCGGCGUGCUUAACACAUGCAAGUCGAACGAUGAACCACUUCGGUGGGGAUUAGUGGCGAACGGGUGAGUAACACGUGGGCAAUCUACCCUUCACUCUGGGACAAGCCCUGGAAACGGGGUCUAAUACCGGAUAUCACUCCCGCAGGCAUCUGUGGGGGUCGAAAGCUCCGGCGGUGAAGGAUGAGCCCGCGGCCUAUCAGCUUGUUGGUGAGGUAAUGGCUCACCAAGGCGACGACGGGUAGCCGGCCUGAGAGGGCGACCGGCCACACUGGGACUGAGACACGGCCCAGACUCCUACGGGAGGCAGCAGUGGGGAAUAUUGCACAAUGGGCGAAAGCCUGAUGCAGCGACGCCGCGUGAGGGAUGACGGCCUUCGGGUUGUAAACCUCUUUCAGCAGGGAAGAAGCGAGAGUGACGGUACCUGCAGAAGAAGCGCCGGCUAACUACGUGCCAGCAGCCGCGGUAAUACGUAGGGCGCAAGCGUUGUCCGGAAUUAUUGGGCGUAAAGAGCUCGUAGGCGGCUUGUCACGUCGGGUGUGAAAGCCCGGGGCUUAACCCCGGGUCUGCAUUCGAUACGGGCUAGCUAGAGUGUGGUAGGGGAGAUCGGAAUUCCUGGUGUAGCGGUGAAAUGCGCAGAUAUCAGGAGGAACACCGGUGGCGAAGGCGGAUCUCUGGGCCAUUACUGACGCUGAGGAGCGAAAGCGUGGGGAGCGAACAGGAUUAGAUACCCUGGUAGUCCACGCCGUAAACGGUGGGAACUAGGUGUUGGCGACAUUCCACGUCGUCGGUGCCGCAGCUAACGCAUUAAGUUCCCCGCCUGGGGAGUACGGCCGCAAGGCUAAAACUCAAAGGAAUUGACGG
This 893-nucleotide ribosomal RNA is filed under the name uncultured Actinomycetes bacterium. RNAcentral describes it as "SSU rRNA". It matches the Rfam family "Bacterial small subunit ribosomal RNA", at positions 8 to 916 of the family's 1533-position model. Lineage: Bacteria; Bacillati; Actinomycetota; Actinomycetes. The record is from RNAcentral.